AAAGAAUUCAGGAAUUUGGUAUAAGUUUUUAAAAUGUAUUUCAAAAAUAAAUCUCUUAUAAAAUUUAUUGUUAUUGUAGAUUAUCACUUUUUUAGUGAAUUACACCUUCCAAAAGUUUAAUUAUGUACUCUUUUUUUUUAUAAAAUUAUUUUGUCUUUAAUUUUAAAUUUUAAAUUAAAAAAAAACAUAUAUACUAGCAAAUAUUUAUCCAUUC
RNAcentral lists this long non-coding RNA (214 nucleotides) under Physcomitrium patens. RNAcentral describes it as "long non-coding RNA (PPAT_LNC010351)". Lineage: Eukaryota; Viridiplantae; Streptophyta; Bryopsida; Funariales; Funariaceae. The record is from RNAcentral.